RNAcentral lists this ribosomal RNA (103 nucleotides) under Amphiprion percula (orange clownfish). Lineage: Eukaryota; Metazoa; Chordata; Actinopteri; Pomacentridae. The record is from RNAcentral.
AAAUACACCCAAUCUCAUCUGAUCCUGUGCAAAGCUAAGCAGGGUUGGGCCUGGUUAGUAUUUGGAUGGGAGACUACCUGGGGAAUACCAGGUGCUGUAAGCU